RNAcentral lists this ribosomal RNA (590 nucleotides) under uncultured bacterium. RNAcentral's name for it is "bacterial SSU rRNA". It matches the Rfam family "Bacterial small subunit ribosomal RNA", at positions 338 to 944 of the family's 1533-position model. The record is from RNAcentral.
CCUACGGGAGGCAGCAGUGGGGAAUAUUGGACAAUGGGCGAAAGCCUGAUCCAGCAAUGCCGCGUGAGUGAUGAAGGCCUUAGGGUUGUAAAGCUCUUUUACUAGGGAUGAUAAUGACAGUACCUAGAGAAUAAGCCCCGGCUAACUCCGUGCCAGCAGCCGCGGUAAUACGGAGGGGGCUAGCGUUGUUCGGAAUUACUGGGCGUAAAGAGUACGUAGGCGGUUAUUCAAGUCAGAGGUGAAAGCCUGGAGCUCAACUCCAGAACUGCCUUUGAAACUAGAUAGCUAGAAUCAUGGAGAGGUUAGUGGAAUUCCGAGUGUAGAGGUGAAAUUCGUAGAUAUUCGGAAGAACACCAGUGGCGAAGGCGACUAACUGGACAUGUAUUGACGCUGAGGUACGAAAGCGUGGGGAGCAAACAGGAUUAGAUACCCUGGUAGUCCACGCCGUAAACGAUGAUAACUAGCUGUUCGGGCUCUCAGAGCUUGAGUGGCGCAGCUAACGCAUUAAGUUAUCCGCCUGGGGAGUACGGUCGCAAGGAUUAAAACUUAAAUGAAUUGACGCUUGAGAGNGCGAGNGACGACGAGGAGAG